GCUCUUAUGGCGCAAUUGGCUAGCGCGGUUCGGCUGUUAACCGAGAGGUUGGUGGUUCAAGCCCACCUAGGAGCG
Molecule: non-coding RNA, 75 nt
Organism: Neocallimastix lanati (nom. inval.)
Lineage: Eukaryota; Fungi; Neocallimastigomycota; Neocallimastigomycetes; Neocallimastigales; Neocallimastigaceae
Source: the annotation of a GenBank genome assembly